UGGGCUAUGUUGAUGCAUCAGGUCAGGCUUCCUGGAGGAGAGGGGCUUCAGGGAUGGAGGGUUGGGAGGGGGCUUUGGGCUGCAGCCCAUUUCUAGCAGAGGACCCUGGGAUGCUUUGCAUAAAACUAACAGGGAAAGAGGGCCUAGGACACUGGGACUGAGAUCUGGGAUGCCCAGAUUUUGUUGAUGGGAGAUAAGAGAAAGAGGGUUUCCAGGAUGAUCCAAGGUCAUUGGCUUGAGCGACUGAGUGGAUGCAGGUACCCUUUCGUGGGACGCUGUAGUGGUGUCUGUGGUUUGGGGAGCACAAACUCCAGAGAAGAAAACUCCAGCGCCCUCUUGGCUGGUGGAAAGGUGCAGACGGGAGGAAUGAAGGAACUGGAGGAGUCGUGAGUGAGAGACGGUGACCCAGAGUGAUCACUCGAGCCCCAGGGAUGGGGACAGUUCCUCCUGGAGAGGACAGGAGAGGUGGGAGCUUCUUUGGCCAAAACAGAGAGAGGGAGGAGCCUGGGUUUGAUAGGUGGGGUGGGGCCUGAGGCAGACUGGAAUAUGGUGAGGAGUCAAGAAAGAAGGGUGGCUUCAGGGAUAGAGGGAUGGAUGAAUGGAAGAUGGCUGAAUGGAUAGGUGGAUAAAUAGACAAAUGGAUGGAAGGAAGGCAGGCAGAUGGAGCACCCAGCUGGUUCCUGCCCCCUCCCACCUUUGCUCUUGCCUCUCCUUGCCCUCCUCUUCACCCACUCCUUCCUGUCUCUGGGCUCCUCGUCCUAUCCUCCAGGCCUCAGUUUAAAUACUCUCUCCUCCAGGAAGCCUUCCUUGAUGACCCUGUCCAACUUCAUCUACAUCACUUUGUUUAUUUCCUUGUCAGGAUCGUCCCUCGGACCUGACUGGGAAUAAGUCCAGACUCAGUAUUCACUGCAUGAAAGAGGGGACAGGCUUAGAGACAGAGAUUCCUAGGAUUGGCACAGGCUUAGAGAAAAAGAGAGAAGGAAGAUUCUAGAAGAGGCAGGACGGGGUGGUGCUGGUUGGGCUCAAGAGUGAGGUUUCCUCAUAGGUCAGGAGAUGAGGAGGAGAGGGGAGUGAAGGCAUAAGAAAGGUGUUUGUGUAGUUGGGAAGGAGUUCAGGAGGCCAGUGCGGACCUGCUUGGACACGGGAGGAGAAGGUUGCGGGGAAGCUGGUGGUAUUGCCAGCCGCUAGGAGGGAGGGAGCUUUGGCAGUCCUGCCGCAGCUGGGAGAAGGCAGCCGCCUCUUAUCUUUAGAGGUCUUAAGAGCACGUGCUGAAGCUAAGUCACUUCAGUUGUGUCUUACUGCGAUCCCACGGACUGUAGCUCGACAGGCUUCUCUGUCUGUGGGAUUCUCCAGGCAAGAAGAUUGGAGUGGGUUGCCAUGCCCUCCUCCAGGGGAUCUUCCCAACCCAGGGAUCGAAGCUGUGUCUAUUAUGUCUCCUGCAUUGGCAGGCGGUUCUUUUCAAUAGCGCCACCUGGGAAGCCCUGAAGUGAAGCUGUUUCUGCCGAUUAAGAGCAGGUGGUGGUCCUUAGUUUGAGGAUUCUUUGGCGAACCUGUUCGGAGGCCACUGAUCUUUCCCCCCACAGAAAUGCAUGCUUGACUCUACAUCCCAACCUUUGGUGGAGGAUUUCGGAGUGGGGGAGGGUGGAUCCAGUUACCAUAGCAACACUAAUACUAACAGCUCACUCGAUGCUGGGCACUGGUCUAGGGUCUUCACAAGACCUGACUCCGUUACACACGUGGAGACUUAGGAGGUAGGUGCAAUGGGCAACCCCCAUUGUACAGAAAGGUUGAGGGUGGGAGAAGAUGGGGGCAACUGGAUGAAAUGAUAAGAUGGCAUCACUGACUCAAUGGACAUGAGUUUGAGCAAGUUUCGGGAGAUAGCGAUGGAUGGGGAAACCUGGUGUGCUGCAGUCCACGGGGUCACAAAGAGCAACUGAACAACAGUUACAAGUUGUACAGAUGAGGAGACUGAGGCCCUGGGAGGUUAAGUGACUUGCCUGGAGUCACACAGCUGCUGAAGAGUAGAGGGGAUUCCCGCCCACCCCUCCCCCCAACUCUGCCUCCCAGACUGCCCAGUCUGGCCCCACAGCCCAGGCUUUUAGCCAUAAAGCCUCACUGCCUGCUUGUUACAGGAGCCAGGACCAAAGCCCACAAUCCAGAAGCUGCCCUUCCCCCUUCCUACUAUUGCCCUGGGAUCUGGCUCGGUCGGCAAGGGCGGGGAAGUCUCGGCUCAGCAGGAGGCCUCCCUCCCUGCUCUUUCUCUCUCUCCACUUCUUGGUGUCUUCAUUAACCUAACCUUGAGCUUCCUGCAGGCAACUGAAGUGUUGGUGAGUUUGUGGGAUGUGUUUGUGUGUUUGUGAUGGAGCCGGGUGGGUGACUGAGUGUGAGUCAGCGAGGCCUGCCCGAAGGGGUCAGGACACCGGAAGGCAGAUCUGGCUGGGCGCAGGGGCUCCUCCACCCGGCUCAGCCUUAGUUUCCCUGUCAGCAAGAAGGGCCUGAUGCCAGCCUCGAGGAGGUUUCAUAGAUGAUGUCACAUGUCAGCAGGCGUGCUGUAAAUUUAUGGCAGUAACUGGCUUCAGUGGUGUUUCAACAUUCAGAAUAUUUCAGAGCCGAGAGCAGGCUAGAUGAGGUAGAACAGCUCCCAACCGGGCAGGGCAGCUCUCCUUCCCCAAAAAGGCUAAAGAUUUUUGCAGCAAAUACUAUUUCUGAUGCUAAUAUUGGGUGGGCCAAAAACGUUCGUUCGGGUUUCUCCAGAACAGCUUACGGAAAAACCUGAAGGAACUUCACCCAGUGUAUCUGUGACUGUUUGUACUAAGCGGGAUAUGGAAGGAUGGUCAUGGCAGGUCAACUUUUGCCUUCCCCCCACCCCUCAAUGAGAGUAAAGUGGUGGGUGGGGGAAAGGAGUUGGUUCUUAGAGAUUUUUGAAGUCGGAAUUGCAGAAAGGGGGUUGUAGACAGAAACCAUUUACCUGUUGGGAUGUCUAUGGAGUUUCAUUGAGAUAAGGUACCAUCCAGGGCCUGACACUCAGUAAGCCCGUUGUGGGUGUUGGUUGCUAUUAUUACUAACCAGCCUUUAGUCUGUACCUGCUUGGUGCAGACCGGUUGGGCUAUGUUGCAGAUCAACAGUUUCUCCACCUUGAGCACGAAUCCCUUGGGGAACCUGUUCAAGUGCAGGGUCUGUGGCAGCCCUCAGACUCUGCAUUUCCGGCCGGCUCCCAGGGGACACUGAGGCUGCCCUUGGUCUGGGGCCACACGUUGAGUAGCAAG
Molecule: long non-coding RNA, 3266 nt
Organism: Bos taurus (domestic cattle)
Lineage: Eukaryota; Metazoa; Chordata; Mammalia; Artiodactyla; Bovidae
Source: Ensembl